GCCGGGCGUGAUGGCGCAUGCCUGUAAUCCCAGCUUCUCAGGAGGCUGAGGCAGGAGAAUUGCUCGAACCCGGGAGGCGGAGGUUGCAGUGAGCCGAGAUCACACCACUACAUUCCAGCCUGGGUGACAGAGCAAGACCCUGUCUCAA
This 148-nucleotide non-coding RNA is filed under the name Pan troglodytes (chimpanzee). The record is from Rfam by way of RNAcentral. Lineage: Eukaryota; Metazoa; Chordata; Mammalia; Primates; Hominidae.